Molecule: ribosomal RNA, 497 nt
Filed under: uncultured bacterium
Lineage: Bacteria
Description: partial 16S ribosomal RNA
Rfam family: Bacterial small subunit ribosomal RNA
Source: RNAcentral
GAUGAACGCUGGCGGCGUGCCUAAUACAUGCAAGUCGAGCGAACAGACGAGGAGCUUGCUCCUCUGACGUUAGCGGCGGACGGGUGAGUAACACGUGGAUAACCUACCUAUAAGACUGGGAUAACUUCGGGAAACCGGAGCUAAUACCGGAUAAUAUAUUGAACCGCAUGGUUCAAUAGUGAAAGACGGUUUUGCUGUCACUUAUAGAUGGAUCCGCGCCGCAUUAGCUAGUUGGUAAGGUAACGGCUUACCAAGGCAACGAUGCGUAGCCGACCUGAGAGGGUGAUCGGCCACCCUGGAACUGAGACACGGUCCAGACUCCUACGGGAGGCAGCAGUAGGGAAUCUUCCGCAAUGGGCGAAAGCCUGACGGAGCAACGCCGCGUGAGUGAUGAAGGUCUUCGGAUCGUAAAACCCUGUUAUUAGGGAAGAACAAAUGUGUAAGUAACUAUGCACGUCUUGACGGUACCUAAUCAGAAAGCCACGGCUAACUACGUG